ACGAACGCUGGCGGCAUGCCUAACACAUGCAAGUCGAACGAGACCUUCGGGUCUAGUGGCGCACGGGUGCGUCACGCGUGAGAACCUGCCCUUAGGUUCGGAAUAACUCCCCGAAAGGGGUGCUAAUACCGGAUAAUGUCUUCGGACCAAAGAUUUAUCGCCUUUGGAUGGGCCCGCGUUGGAUUAGCUAGUUGGUAGGGUAAAAGCCUACCAAGGCGACGAUCCAUAGCUGGUCUGAGAGGAUGAUCAGCCACACUGGGACUGAGACACGGCCCAGACUCCUACGGGAGGCAGCAGUGGGGAAUAUUGGACAAUGGGCGAAAGCCUGAUCCAGCAAUGCCGCGUGAGUGAUGAAGGCCUUAGGGUUGUAAAGCUCUUUUACCCGGGAUGAUAAUGACAGUACCGGGAGAAUAAGCUCCGGCUAACUCCGUG
This 432-nucleotide ribosomal RNA is filed under the name uncultured bacterium. RNAcentral describes it as "partial 16S ribosomal RNA". It matches the Rfam family "Bacterial small subunit ribosomal RNA", at positions 29 to 507 of the family's 1533-position model. The record is from RNAcentral.